AUGAAAAAUCUACUUUGUAAAAGUCCUUGAAGGAACGGCUUAUCAGCUUCAGUAUCCUUCCGUGAAUAUCUAUUCAAACUGCCAACCUGGUGUUUGAUUAAUUGCUUCCCAUUUUAUAUGUGUUAUUUCAUAUAUUGUGUUUUGAAGUUGAAAUUGAUUUUGUGUUUAUUUCAAAUUCAGGGUCUCUUAAACGGGUCAAAAUUGUCUAAGAAAGUGGCUACCUAUAGGUGUUGUGUUUGAUCAAUUUCAUUGUGUUUUUUUAAUAGUAUUUCAUUGUGUUUUUUCAAUAGCAUUUCAUUGUGUUUUCUAAUACCAUUUUGAGAAUUGUUGGAUCCUAUAUUAUAACCAUCAACUUCAAUAUCUUGGUACUACAUGAACUAAUAUUGUGUUUUUAUUAUUCAUCUCAUGUGUGUAGCAUGAAGCAACAAGGGUGGAUACUGAUCUUGCUGGCUAACGGUUCUGGGAGCGAAAAGGAGAUCAAAAGGCCAUCGUAUGGCUUCAUUAUCGUACAUGGGAAAUUUGAGAUGAAUCUGAUUGAUGAACAAAAUCUCAGCUUACAGCAAUUUGUAGAAUCCUUAACCCUCUUUUUUCUUGAUGUGGACUGUCAAAAAUCCGGAUUGAGAAUAAAGUUCACGAUUACAUGAACUCACAAGCCAAAUUCGAAGACAAGAUGUGGGCGAUUCUGAAUGUCUGGUUGAUUGAAGAUCAACUAUGGAUAAUCUUUCUAGAGUCACUCACAAGAUGAAAGAUAUUGACAUCGACAUCCAGAUGGAUAGUCAAUUCUAAUGACACGUUGAAUUAUCGACCAGUAAGGUCAAAGAAAGAAGUGCAUCGUCUGGUCAGUUGAGCAAUGGGAAAAAGCCGAAUCGUCAAGAGAAUAAAAACCCAGAUGUCAAAGUUCAAAAGCCGAAAGAUGAAGCAUCAGAAACACUUCAAAAUGGUGAUUACACGGCGGAGCCACCGGUUCAGAACAUAGUGGCUAAGGAUGUUCACGGGAAGUUGUGGAGUUCCAGCAUAUUUACCGGGGUACGCCUCGCCGGCAUCUCUUGACAACUGGUUGGAGUAAUUUUGUCAACCAGAAGAAGUUGGUGGCGGGUGAUUCGAUCGUGUUUUUGAGGGCGGAUAACGGCGAUUUUUGUGUGAGGGCGAAGAGGGGUUUGUCGAGUCGAAUUGUUCCUGGUGGAAUGCUGCGGUUAGCGGGUUUGGGAAUUUCGGGAAGGUGAGUGAUACGGGUAAAUGAUCAGUGGUUUAGAUGGUAGUGGAUGGAGAUGUUGUUAGGAAUCAGUGGAUGAACAACAGAGGUUGUUAAUAACAUUGGAUUAGCAGCAGAGGUGGUUAGCUGACAGUGGAUCAGCAACAGAGGUUGUUAGUUAACAGGGGUUAGCAACAGAUGUUGUUAGUUAGUUGGGCGGUUACAAGAGAAUGGUCUUGCGGAUGUUGACUUGCACGAGGGUGCAGCAGGUGGUUCAAGUAGCAAGUCCAGCAGUUCCUUUAUAUUGGAAUAAAAUAAAAUGGCAGGUGGCAUCAUGGAAGCCCUCAAAUUGGAAGAAACAAUAAAGAAUUAUGAACAAUGCAAUGAGAAUGGUGGUGUAUUUAUUUAUAAGCUUUUGUAGUCAGACCGUCGUCUUCUGAUUGGAUAAUCGCUAUGGUCGACUGAAAGAGAUCUUGAGAUGAAGCGAUGAUUGGCAACCAUUCCAUUCCACUCUCAAUUUCAAAGGAACAUCAAGAUAUGUGGGCAGGAUGGAAACAGCAUAGUUGUUUAUUGCGACCAUAGCGGUCGCUAUAGCGAUUUUAGCGAUUUUUUUUUUUUUAAGUUUCUCACCUCUCGUCUGGGCUGGGUUGGGGUAAAACUGAGGUUGAAUGGGGGAUCAAUGUGUGUUGUUGGUUGAUUGUUUGGACACUGAAUCAUCACAUUGAGAGUAUAAGUAUAUCGGGUUCUGCAGAAGAAAUGGUUACUGGUGUUUGUGCUGAUAGGAUGGAUGUUAGUUUCGAGUCGUUACCAAAGAAAUUUGCAGAAUGCAGGACCUGCCAUGUGGAAUAUGAAGACUUGAACAUGGAGACACCGUGUGCCUGUUGUGGCAGUUUGAAGGUUUUUGUUCUUGAUCUUACUUCAUUAAAUUAGUUUCAGAAUUGAUAUAUCCCUUGAAAUAGUAGAGGUUUCAUCCUUUGGAACACAAGGCCACAUGUUUGAAUUUUUAAUAGUUUUUCUUUAAAUGACGAAAAGCAGAAGCUUGAGAAUAGUAAAGGGGAAACUUUUUAAGGCAAAUUUAAAAAAAAAAAAAAAAAAAAAGGGUAAUUGCACGGUACCUCUGACCGCGGGAGGGAUCCCCCUCCCCAAGCUAGCGACCCGGCAACGCUGCUUGGCGGUGACUACCCAGCCGUUUCGAGGGGAGCGAAGAGCCUGCAAGCAGGAUUCGAACCCGAGCACUUUAGGCCUCGAACCGGUUUAACUUGGGUGCCGGUGGCCAUUGGGCUGACACCCAAUGAAUAAAAUCGCCCUUUAUAAGAAAAUUCCAAUUUUCGAACCUGGCUUUAAUUUGGCAAGGUCUUAGUUCCAUGUAUGUAUGUCUCUGCUCAAGGAUUUAUCAUCUGGCAAUUAACCGAAGCUAGAGGUCUGAGUCAGCUAUGAGAUUCUACAAAUUUUAUUGCUCGGUUAUUUCCUGUGAUUUUGUGUUGAAUUUACAUUUUUGGAAUGAGUUUAAUUAGUUUGGUUGAUUGUUUCCUUUUAAUAUAUGUUGAGUUGACGUAUAUGCAGUCCAUCCAUCUGGUUGGUUUUGGUUCAAGUCGAUGUGUUUUCUAAUGUGUGAACAGGCAGCCAAUUGAAACAUCACUGAUCCCUUUUUGAAGGUUAAACAUCACAAAAUGAAGGUAACUUUCACUUUCGACUGGGAUCCUUAACAAAGCCAUUGAGAACAUUGCUGGUGUGAAGUUUGUCAUCAUGUUCGCCAACAAAAAGAUGCUUACGAAGAACUUAAAAAGCUAGCAGCCAAGUCAAUGAGCGAGUCGGUCAAGGAAAUGGUUAAAGCAGUUUAACAGGCCGAACCAGCCACCAGACCCAUAUCUCGCGUUGAUGAUGCAGUCACACCAUGGCUUACGAGCAUGAGGGCGUGGCGUACAGCCAGGGAUCCGGCUGUUCUCAUCCAUGAUUAAAAUGAAGUUAUACUAAAGGCUAAACCCAACCUGCUUUUGAAAACUCAAUCCGCACUAAGCAUGGAUUGUGGUACACCCUUUUGUGACCAGUUAUAAAAACGGUUUUACUUCAGGUGUUUGUAUUACUGGAGAACUCCGGUUGUCCUCUUGGCAACAAAAUUCCUGAAUUCAACGAGUUGGUUAAUCAAAACAGAUGGCAUGAGGCUUUAGAUCGGCUUCUUGAGACAAACAACUUCCCAGAGUUUACAGCCUGGUCUGCCCUGCUCCAUGUUAUGUGCUUGGUAUUAUUGAAACUCCAGUCUCGAUUAAGAACAUAAAACAACGAGUGCUCGAUUACGCAGCUGCAAGUUCUUCAUAAACCUGGCGUCCAUGCAACUUUAGCUCGUCCUAUGAUGUUGUUACAAAACAAGUGGAAUUUGCUUUUCAUUUUGUUAGAGAAAAGGUUGUUCUGACUUCAGUUUUCUAACAGGAAAACGAUAGCUAUAGUUGGAAGUGGGCCUGCUGGUUUGGCUAUACUUGAUCAACUCAACAGGGCGGGCCAUGCAGUGACUUUGUUCGAGCGUGCUGACCGAAUUGGUGGACUUAGGAUGCAUGAGGUUCCUAACAUGAAAACAGACAAAAUCGAUAUGAUUUCUUGCAUUGUAAAAUUGUUUUGCAAAGAUGUUGCGUUUGAUGUACACACACACACACACACACACAUAUAUAUAUAUUUGGUGGUCAUAAUCAUAUGUUGUUGAAUAUGAAUAUGAAGGUGAUUAUAUGUUCCUUAUUGUCAA
Helianthus annuus (common sunflower) is the source of this 3926-nucleotide long non-coding RNA. RefSeq lists it as uncharacterized. The record is from RefSeq and is a predicted model, not a curated record. NCBI's taxonomy places the organism in Eukaryota, Viridiplantae, Streptophyta, Magnoliopsida, Asterales, Asteraceae. The transcript has 9 exons.